UGCCAGCCGCCGCGGUAAUACGGAGGGUGCAAGCGUUGCUCGGAAUCACUGGGCGUAAAGGGUCCGCAGGCGGCUCGAUCAGUCGGAUGUGAAAGCCCAGGGCUCAACUCUGGAACUGCAUUCGAUACUGUCGAGCUUGAGUACGGGAGAGGGAAGCGGAAUUCCUGGUGUAGAGGUGAAAUUCGUAGAUAUCAGGAGGAACACCAGUGGCGAAAGCGGCUUCCUGGCCCGAUACUGACGCUCAUUGACGAAAGCGUGGGGAGCAAACAGGAUUAGAUA
Molecule: ribosomal RNA, 279 nt
Filed under: uncultured bacterium
Lineage: Bacteria
Description: partial 16S ribosomal RNA
Rfam family: Bacterial small subunit ribosomal RNA
Source: RNAcentral